CAGAUGUGUGGGAGUAUGGGAAUGGGAAGGCUGCAACAGACGCUGCAAACCCACUGCUGACACCAGGGUUCUCGUGUGGGACGGAUUUUUAAGAGGAUUGGCCAGGUGUGCCCUGUUG
Melanotaenia boesemani (Boeseman's rainbowfish) is the source of this 118-nucleotide long non-coding RNA. RefSeq lists it as uncharacterized. The transcript is spliced from 3 exons. The record is from RefSeq and is a predicted model, not a curated record. NCBI's taxonomy places the organism in Eukaryota, Metazoa, Chordata, Actinopteri, Atheriniformes, Melanotaeniidae.